This 274-nucleotide ribosomal RNA is filed under the name uncultured bacterium. RNAcentral's name for it is "partial 16S ribosomal RNA". It matches the Rfam family "Bacterial small subunit ribosomal RNA", at positions 523 to 796 of the family's 1533-position model. The record is from RNAcentral.
AUACGGAGGGUGCAAGCGUUAAUCGGAAUUACUGGGCGUAAAGGGCGCGUAGGCGGUCUAUCAAGUCAGGUGUGAAAUCCCACGGCUCAACCGUGGAGGUGCAUCUGAAACUGAUAGACUUGAGUAUGGGAGAGGAAAGUGGAAUUCCCGGUGUAGAGGUGAAAUUCGUAGAUAUCGGGAGGAACACCAGUGGCGAAGGCGACUUUCUGGACCAAUACUGACGCUGAGGCGCGAAAGCGUGGGGAGCAAACAGGAUUAGAAACCCCUGUAGUCC